CUUUGCAGGUACAGUAAUUCAGAGUGCCUUGUUUGCCUGAACUCAGAGCAGCAGCGGAGAGAGACCGUGUGAUGAUUACAAACUCAUGUGGACCUGCUCAGGAACAUUCUGUUCAGAGUGCAGGACCCACUGGUUCGACCAUGACGAUCCCCAGGGAACGGAGACUACGAGGUUUAAUGUUCUAGUCUUUUAGGUGUGUGGGACACGGUGGCUGAGCAGUGAUAACCCAUCAGAUGAGGACGACCUGGAUUCCAUACCCCAGCUGCUGCAGAUGUUUCCUGGUCAAGUGUGUAGAAGCCCCAUCAGCAUCGAGGCCCAGACCAACUAUGGGAUAUCUGCUCAGCACACUGGAGACACCUUCCUCUCAUGAGCAGUUCCUCUAACCUUAACCCUAACCCUAGCUUCAUGUCCACAUCCUGGUUAAACACGAGCUUCAUGUCCACAUCCUGGUUAAUCCCUAACCCUAGCUUCAUGUCCACAUCCUGGGUCAACCCUAACCCUAGCUUCAUGUCCAAAUCCUGGCUCAACCCUAACCCUAGCUUCAUGUCCACAUCCUAGUUAAACCCUAGCUUCAUGUCCACAUCCUGUAACCUCAACCCUAACCCUCUCUUCAUGUCCACAUCCUGGCUCAGCCCUAACCCUAGCUUCAUGUCCACAUUCUGGUUAAACCCUAACCCUAGCUUCAUGUCCACAUCCUGGCUCAACCCUAACCCUCGCUUCAUGUCCACAUCCUGGCUCAACCCUAACCCUAGCUUCCUGUCCACAUUCUGGUUAAACCCUAACCCUAGCCUCAACCCUAACCCUAGCUUCAUGUCCACAUUCUGGUUAAACCCUAACCCUCGCCUCAACCCUAACCCUAGCUUCAUGUCCACAUUCUGGUUAAACCCUAGCUUCAUGUCCACAUUCUGGUUAAACCCUAACCCUAGCCUCAACCCUAACCCUAGCUUCAUGUCCACAUCCUGGUUAAACCCUAGCUUCAUGUCCACAUCCUGGUUAAACCCUAACUCUAACCCUAGCCUCAACCCUAACCCUAGCUUCAUGUCCACAUUCUGGUUAAACCC
Long non-coding RNA from Oncorhynchus keta (chum salmon), 1061 nucleotides. RefSeq lists it as uncharacterized. The transcript has 3 exons. Lineage: Eukaryota; Metazoa; Chordata; Actinopteri; Salmoniformes; Salmonidae. The record is from RefSeq and is a predicted model, not a curated record.